This 1025-nucleotide unclassified non-coding RNA is filed under the name Hermetia illucens (black soldier fly). RNAcentral describes it as "uncharacterized LOC119647284, transcript variant X4". Lineage: Eukaryota; Metazoa; Arthropoda; Insecta; Diptera; Stratiomyidae. The record is from RNAcentral.
UUUGACAGGGUUCCCAGGCGUCCGCGUAGAGUCACCUUCACAAUGUGGACAGUUGAAUUGAAUUGAAAGGGUCGUGUACAAAUUACGCGUUCGGACUGAGCGGAAAGGUUUUUAAAAAACACAGAAUUUAUAAUACACUAUUAACUUUAUUUGAAGUGAAAAAUUUAAUUACACUUAACUUAUUCAAAUGUAGUUAACAGACUGGUCCCGGGAGGCUACGUUGUACCUAUUGUUUGCAAGAAUUUCCGAUCGAAAUUCUUUCCCAUUCCCAUUCGUUACCUCAUUGACCAGCUGUAACCUCCAAUAUUGACAAGGUCGUAUCGUUAUUGCGAUAAACAGCAGCUGCAUAAAGAGGUAUGCUGCACAAUACUUCCGCUGAAGUAGCGUGUUCCGUAUUCCGAAACACACGAUCGACGACCUUGCGUGUAUUUACUUCCAUGUGAUGUUUACCUACCAGCAGAUAUAAGAGUUUAUGCUGUUUAAUGAACGUGCCGUCGCAGCUUAAACGUAGAACGAGACGGACGAGCGAGCACCACAGCACGAGUCGGACGAGCGAGUACCGCCGAAAGAAUUGCAGCGGCAUCCAGGGAGAUCCGCAAUUUCAGGGUGUGAAGCUAGGCGAGAUUUUCUAACGCAAAUCAGGAGUUUCACGGGCCGGAUCCUCAUUGGUUACUUCUCCCAAACAUUUGGUCCUUCGAGUCGGAUACACGGACCUAUGGAUACACGGCGGCGUCCAGGGAGAUUCAAAAGCUUCGAAAGAGAAGCUCAGGAAAAAAAGCAGAUCCACAAUUUCAGGGCGUGAAGCUAGUUAUGUAUGCGUCAGCACACACAAAUCAUAAAAACAAAUUACACGUGCCUGUAUCUAUUCCGCCAGAUUCAGAAACCUUAGACGCAAAGAAACAAGGCACCGUCUGGAAAGAAUUUGCCGCAUUUCUGGAAAAAUGCAAGCAGCCAGACGCUUAAUCAGCAUUUAUAAAUGCAUAAAUAUAAGAAAUCAAAUAACAUCUCGCCCAGUUGCCGCGAAA